AUUCAGCUGACGAGUCCCGAAUAGGACAAAAGGUGCGUCCUGGAU
Molecule: non-coding RNA, 45 nt
Organism: Schistosoma haematobium
Lineage: Eukaryota; Metazoa; Platyhelminthes; Trematoda; Strigeidida; Schistosomatidae
Source: Rfam